GGGUUGUGAGGUUAAGCGACUAAGCGUACACGGUGGAUGCCCUGGCAGUCAGAGGCGAUGAAGGACGUGCUAAUCUGCGAUAAGCGUCGGUAAGGUGAUAUGAACCGUUAUAACCGGCGAUUUCCGAAUGGGGAAACCCAGUGUGUUUCGACACACUAUCAUUAACUGAAUCCAUAGGUUAAUGAGGCGAACCGGGGGAACUGAAACAUCUAAGUACCCCGAGGAAAAGAAAUCAACCGAGAUUCCCCCAGUAGCGGCGAGCGAACGGGGAGCAGCCCAGAGCCUGAAUCAGUGUGUGUGUUAGUGGAAGCGUCUGGAAAGGCGCGCGAUACAGGGUGACAGCCCCGUACACAAAAAUGCACAUGCUGUGAGCUCGAUGAGUAGGGCGGGACACGUGGUAUCCUGUCUGAAUAUGGGGGGACCAUCCUCCAAGGCUAAAUACUCCUGACUGACCGAUAGUGAACCAGUACCGUGAGGGAAAGGCGAAAAGAACCCCGGCGAGGGGAGUGAAAAAGAACCUGAAACCGUGUACGUACAAGCAGUGGGAGCACGCUUAGGCGUGUGACUGCGUACCUUUUGUAUAAUGGGUCAGCGACUUAUAUUCUGUAGCAAGGUUAACCGAAUAGGGGAGCCGAAGGGAAACCGAGUCUUAACUGGGCGUUAAGUUGCAGGGUAUAGACCCGAAACCCGGUGAUCUAGCCAUGGGCAGGUUGAAGGUUGGGUAACACUAACUGGAGGACCGAACCGACUAAUGUUGAAAAAUUAGCGGAUGACUUGUGGCUGGGGGUGAAAGGCCAAUCAAACCGGGAGAUAGCUGGUUCUCCCCGAAAGCUAUUUAGGUAGCGCCUCGUGAAUUCAUCUCCGGGGGUAGAGCACUGUUUCGGCAAGGGGGUCAUCCCGACUUACCAACCCGAUGCAAACUGCGAAUACCGGAGAAUGUUAUCACGGGAGACACACGGCGGGUGCUAACGUCCGUCGUGAAGAGGGAAACAACCCAGACCGCCAGCUAAGGUCCCAAAGUCAUGGUUAAGUGGGAAACGAUGUGGGAAGGCCCAGACAGCCAGGAUGUUGGCUUAGAAGCAGCCAUCAUUUAAAGAAAGCGUAAUAGCUCACUGGUCGAGUCGGCCUGCGCGGAAGAUGUAACGGGGCUAAACCAUGCACCGAAGCUGCGGCAGCGACGCUUAUGCGUUGUUGGGUAGGGGAGCGUUCUGUAAGCCUGCGAAGGUGUGCUGUGAGGCAUGCUGGAGGUAUCAGAAGUGCGAAUGCUGACAUAAGUAACGAUAAAGCGGGUGAAAAGCCCGCUCGCCGGAAGACCAAGGGUUCCUGUCCAACGUUAAUCGGGGCAGGGUGAGUCGACCCCUAAGGCGAGGCCGAAAGGCGUAGUCGAUGGGAAACAGGUUAAUAUUCCUGUACUUGGUGUUACUGCGAAGGGGGGACGGAGAAGGCUAUGUUGGCCGGGCGACGGUUGUCCCGGUUUAAGCGUGUAGGCUGGUUUUCCAGGCAAAUCCGGAAAAUCAAGGCUGAGGCGUGAUGACGAGGCACUACGGUGCUGAAGCAACAAAUGCCCUGCUUCCAGGAAAAGCCUCUAAGCAUCAGGUAACAUCAAAUCGUACCCCAAACCGACACAGGUGGUCAGGUAGAGAAUACCAAGGCGCUUGAGAGAACUCGGGUGAAGGAACUAGGCAAAAUGGUGCCGUAACUUCGGGAGAAGGCACGCUGAUAUGUAGGUGAAGUCCCUCGCGGAUGGAGCUGAAAUCAGUCGAAGAUACCAGCUGGCUGCAACUGUUUAUUAAAAACACAGCACUGUGCAAACACGAAAGUGGACGUAUACGGUGUGACGCCUGCCCGGUGCCGGAAGGUUAAUUGAUGGGGUCAGCGCAAGCGAAGCUCUUGAUCGAAGCCCCGGUAAACGGCGGCCGUAACUAUAACGGUCCUAAGGUAGCGAAAUUCCUUGUCGGGUAAGUUCCGACCUGCACGAAUGGCGUAAUGAUGGCCAGGCUGUCUCCACCCGAGACUCAGUGAAAUUGAACUCGCUGUGAAGAUGCAGUGUACCCGCGGCAAGACGGAAAGACCCCGUGAACCUUUACUAUAGCUUGACACUGAACAUUGAGCCUUGAUGUGUAGGAUAGGUGGGAGGCUUUGAAGUGUGGACGCCAGUCUGCAUGGAGCCGACCUUGAAAUACCACCCUUUAAUGUUUGAUGUUCUAACGUUGACCCGUAAUCCGGGUUGCGGACAGUGUCUGGUGGGUAGUUUGACUGGGGCGGUCUCCUCCUAAAGAGUAACGGAGGAGCACGAAGGUUGGCUAAUCCUGGUCGGACAUCAGGAGGUUAGUGCAAUGGCAUAAGCCAGCUUGACUGCGAGCGUGACGGCGCGAGCAGGUGCGAAAGCAGGUCAUAGUGAUCCGGUGGUUCUGAAUGGAAGGGCCAUCGCUCAACGGAUAAAAGGUACUCCGGGGAUAACAGGCUGAUACCGCCCAAGAGUUCAUAUCGACGGCGGUGUUUGGCACCUCGAUGUCGGCUCAUCACAUCCUGGGGCUGAAGUAGGUCCCAAGGGUAUGGCUGUUCGCCAUUUAAAGUGGUACGCGAGCUGGGUUUAGAACGUCGUGAGACAGUUCGGUCCCUAUCUGCCGUGGGCGCUGGAGAAUUGAGGGGGGCUGCUCCUAGUACGAGAGGACCGGAGUGGACGCAUCACUGGUGUUCGGGUUGUCAUGCCAAUGGCACUGCCCGGUAGCUAAAUGCGGAAGAGAUAAGUGCUGAAAGCAUCUAAGCACGAAACUUGCCCCGAGAUGAGUUCUCCCUGACUCCUUGAGAGUCCUGAAGGAACGUUGAAGACGACGACGUUGAUAGGCCGGAUGUGUAAGCGCAGCGAUGCGUUGAGCUAACCGGUACUAAUGAACCGUGAGGCUUAACCUUACAACGCCGAAGCUGUU
Molecule: ribosomal RNA, 2930 nt
Filed under: Escherichia coli
Lineage: Bacteria; Pseudomonadati; Pseudomonadota; Gammaproteobacteria; Enterobacterales; Enterobacteriaceae
Description: 23S ribosomal RNA
Rfam family: Bacterial large subunit ribosomal RNA
Source: RNAcentral